UACGUAGGGCGCAAGCGUUGUCCGGAAUUAUUGGGCGUAAAGAGCUCGUAGGCGGCCAGUUGCGUCUGCUGUGAAAUCCCGGGGCUCAACCCCGGGCUUGCAGUGGAUACGGGCUGGCUGGAGGCAGGCAGGGGAGAACGGAAUUCCCGGUGUAGCGGUGAAAUGCGUAGAUAUCAGGAGGAACACCUGUGGCGAAAGCGGCUCACUGGACCACAACUGACGCUGAUGCACGAAAGCUAGGGGAGCAAACAGG
This 253-nucleotide ribosomal RNA is filed under the name uncultured bacterium. RNAcentral describes it as "partial 16S ribosomal RNA". It matches the Rfam family "Bacterial small subunit ribosomal RNA", at positions 524 to 776 of the family's 1533-position model. The record is from RNAcentral.